GUUCGACCUGAGCUCGGGCAAGGCUACCCG
This 30-nucleotide ribosomal RNA is filed under the name Desmodesmus communis. Its description in RNAcentral is "partial 26S ribosomal RNA". Lineage: Eukaryota; Viridiplantae; Chlorophyta; Chlorophyceae; Sphaeropleales; Scenedesmaceae. The record is from RNAcentral.